UAGCCCCAGCCGACAGCUCAACUAAAGCCUCAUAAGACAUCCUGCGCCAGAGCCACAUAACCAAGUUGCUCCCAAAUUUCUGACCCACAGAAGAUGUGAGAUGAUGUCUAUUGCUUGAAGUCAUUAAGCACUAGGAUGGUUCAGGCUGCCAUGCUGAGAAUACACCGGGGACAGGGACGCCACUGAGCAGGCAGUCACCAGGAGGAAGAGGAUGCUUGGGGCUCUGGUGGUGACAAGGAGGAGAGAAGGCCUUGCCAGCAUUUGGUAUUGUCGGUGCUCUGGAUUAGGACCAUUCUAAGAGGAAAGCCCCGCUUCCAUCACAUCUGUCAGACGGAAUGUCAAAAAACACACUGAGGUUCAAUAAAUUAAUGGAUUGCCUAUUGCAGCCGUGGGCACCCACACAGUAGAAGCCGCUCCCUCCAGGAAAUACUGGCACCAUCCAAUCAUCACAGAGAAGGGCGAUUGCCAUCCUCUCUCCUGCCAUGGCCCAUCUGAGCCAGGAAAGAAAGAACUGAUCAGUGUCACGUAACAUCUAAAAAGGUAGCAAGUAAUUUAAUUCACACAAAAUGAAGCCAAAGUUGUGGACAUUGGAGAACAAGAACUUCCCAUGGAAACCAAUGUUAAACUUUUAAUCUAAAUUGUAUCUUUAAUGUCAUACUUGAUGCAUAGAUAAGAAUAUGUGUCACGUGUAUGUAAGCUGUAAAGUAUAAUAUAACAAAUCACUGUGAACCCAUCACUCAAACCCAAGUACUAGAACACGGUACCAGCCACUUGUAUCUGUCUUCCUCCCUAUGCGUUCCUUACCUCCCUCCCAGAAGUAACCACUCUCCUGAAUUUUGUGUUUGCUAUUUUUUUGCUCAUAGUUUUUGAGCUUUAUCAAAAUAGAAAUAUAUCUUUGGAGACUUGAUUUCUUCAUUCCAUUAUGUUUCUGAAAAUCAUUCAUGUCUUCAUGUGUGUUUCACCACUGUGUUGUAAUUAAUGGAUGAAACUACGGUUCUCCAGACGGGUUUUUGGGUUGUUUGCACUUGAGGGGGGGUUUGCAGAGAGACCUGCCACCGAAUAUUCGUGCUAAUGUCUCCUGGUCACAUGCAAGAGUUCAUUAUUGGGUCAUGAAAUACAGAAAUGUUCAGCUUCACAAACUAAUGACAGUUUUCCUAAGAGAUUGAAUUAAUUUACUUUCCUCUUAUUUCUACACAGUUUAUUUUCAUAUGUUUAUUGACUGUUUUCUCUGUAAUGGAAUUCUUAUUUAUGUUUUUUGCACAUUUUAAAAUAUAUUUGUCUGCAUUUUUCUUAUUGACAACUAGGAAUUCUUUAUAUAUUCUGAAUACUAGUCUUUUGUCAGUUAUACGUCUUGCAAAUGUUUUCUAGAUUUUGGCUUAUGUUUUCCCUGUGUCUUUGAUGAACAGACAUCCUAAGUUUAAUGUAGUCAAAUGUAUUAAUGUUUAUUUAUUUUUGUUUUCUUUAAGAAAUCCUUCCCUAGCCCAAGAUUAGGUAAAUAGUAUCCUAUGUAUCUUCUCAAAGUAUUGCUUUUCCUUCUUAGGACUUAAUACAUCUAGAAUUGCCUUUUGGGAUAGUUGAAUUAGGGAUUUGAUCUCUUUUAUUUUGUGUUCCAGACAGUUGAGCAAUUUGUCCAUCCACCUUUUUUAAAUUUUGCUCCUGCUUUCCCCCAUUGAUUUGCAAAGGUACCUCUUUCAUAUAUCAAAUACCAUGUGUGCAUGGUAUUUCUGGGCUCUCUAUUUUGUUCCACUGUUAGACUGUAAAUUCCUGCACCAAUAUCACACUGUUUUUCAUUUCCAUUGCUUUAUAUCAAAUCUUGCUUUCUAGAAAGCCUGUCUCAUCACUUUAUUCUUCUUCAGGAGUACAUUGGCUAUUCUGAGUCCUUUAUUCUUCUAUUUAAAUUUUAGAAUAAACUUAUGAAACUUUAAACAAGACAACAAAAACAAACAAAAAAUAUUGGAGUAUUUUUUCUAAUUGAAUUUAACCUAUGGAUAUCUGUGGGUCAAUGGGAAGAAAUGAAAACUUUAUAUGAUAUUAGCUUCCUAUCCAUGAACAUGGGCUGUCUUUCCAUUUAUUUUGGUCUUUAAUCCUUCAGUUGAGUUUUGUAAUCUUAUAGGUAUAGGUCUUGUACACCUUUAGAUUUAUUUCCAAGUAGCUUAAAAAUUGUAUUGAUGUGAAAUUCUUUUUAAAUUAUUUAUUGUUGGUAUAUAAAAAGGCAAUCAACUUUUAAGAUUAAUAUCAUCUGCCACAUAGCUAAACUCUAGUAUCAGAUCUAAUAAUUUGCCUGUACAUUCUUUUGGGUUGUCUAUAUAGACAGUUAUAUCAAAUGUGAAUAAUGACAGAUACGCUUUUGCUUUGCAGUCCUUAUACUUUAAUUUCUUUUUUAUGCCCUACUGAGCUGGCUAGGACCUCUAGUGUUGCAUAAAUGGGCAGUAACAGGUGUUCUUGCCUUCUUCCUGCCUUUCAAAGAAACUGCUGCUAAUAUUCCAAUAUUUUUGUAUUAAGAAUGAUGUUUGCUGUAGGGUUUUUUUGUUUAU
Ailuropoda melanoleuca (giant panda) is the source of this 2534-nucleotide long non-coding RNA. RefSeq lists it as uncharacterized. NCBI's taxonomy places the organism in Eukaryota, Metazoa, Chordata, Mammalia, Carnivora, Ursidae. The record is from RefSeq and is a predicted model, not a curated record. The transcript has 4 exons.